Long non-coding RNA from Mirounga angustirostris (Northern elephant seal), 3512 nucleotides. RefSeq lists it as uncharacterized. The record is from RefSeq and is a predicted model, not a curated record. The transcript is spliced from 4 exons. Lineage: Eukaryota; Metazoa; Chordata; Mammalia; Carnivora; Phocidae.
UUGCUUUGGCCCAUGGAAUGGGCAGAAAUGAAAGUGUGAUCGUUCUGUGUCUGGGCUUGAAGAGGUCCAAUGAAGUUUCUGCUUCGCCUCUUAUUAUGCUUCCUUCCGGUAGCCUCUUCAGCUGGGGCCCCAGAACCAACACAGGUGGAAAAGAGCUAGCCCCGCCGAUCUGCAGACCAGCAGUGAGAAGCAGCACUGACCCAGCCGGCAGAGCAUUCGAGUACAGCUGUACCGGCCAUCCUGCGAGAAUCGGUGUUCCAGUCCGCUGAGUUUGGGGAUGGUUUAUCAGUUAGCAUUGUUGUAGCGAAGGAUAACCAGUGCACGUACUCACUCCUUCAUUAGGCUAUAGGUUCAGUCGCAGUAGAGACCCAACACAACAGUGUGGUAGAUAAAAAAGCAGCUCCUUGAUCUCUGAUAUAAUCAUCUGGUUAAGGACUGUAGUCCAGGGCUGGUUUGGCGGUUCGCAUGUCAGGGAGCCAGGCGCCUUCUAUUUGACGGCUCCACCAUUCUGGGGUGUCGCCCUCAUCCACGUGAGGUCUUUAUGCUGUUCACAGGUUGAGGUCUUCAUUUCCCUUGGCCCUGCAAGCUGGAACCCUCCACAGCGGGCGCCGAACCUUCUCCAACACUAGCCUUGAACACACAAAGCUCCGCCUUGAAGCCCCAUUCCCACUUCGGCUUCAGGCCUCCAGGACUUUAACUCUUGAAGGAGUGUGCUCCCCUCCCCAUCCCCCAGGUCUCAACAACAUCUCCUCCCCACUAGGACCUCAGGAGCCAGAGCUGGUCGUGCCUGGCGCUCCCCAGGACUGAGAGGCCCUGACUUCCAUGGGGGCGGCUGGCUGCCAGCCGGCGUGAGCCUUCGGGACUCCAAGGGUAAGAAUCCAGUGGUGCCUUCUGGUCCUCUUCAGUCGGCUCUGCCCUGCCUCUCCCACCCUCCAAUCCCUGUUGACCUCCAGUCCUGAAGAAGCCAGAGAACCUCUGCUCCACCGCCUCCCGGCUCUCUUUGCCCUACUGCAGUAGUUUGGUGCUAGAAGCCCAUGAACCACAUUUCACAGAUUCCCUUGACAGCAGAGUUCUGCCAAUAAAAUGUACCUGUGUGAAAUCUGGAAGGUGGAAGCCACUCUCUCCUCCUCUGCAGAGCAGACACGCAGGCUGCACGCUGGACUCCAUAUUCCCCCACUGGUCACCGGGCUUGGGACUGUGGGGGGGAUGCUGCUGUGACCUCAGCAGUCUGUUGAGCGGUGGCAGCAGCUUUGAAUCUAUGGAAAGCAGCUGUAACCUGAAAGCUAGUGAUGUGAUCCCCCCGCCCCCGACAUUCACCACCGCUAGCCCCCCAGUGAUGAGCACCAAUUAUGUUUAUGGACAUCCGUCAUGACCUGAGCUGAGACCAAGAGUUGAAUGUUUAACCAACCUAACCACCCAGGCGCCGCAGGAGUGGAGGAAUUUUUGCCUUUUCCGCAGACUGCGCCACAUUAUCCCUUGGAAUCAUGCAGCCAUGAUCUGUGUUGGGUGAGGAAGGUGGUGGUAGGUUUGGCGCUGGGCUGCGCUGGCGAGAGCCAAGCCGCACACGUCUGACCCUCAGUGGGGUCAGGAGAGGCUAGGGCGGUACAUGCAUGCGAAUGGGUAAAUGACCCCACCAGUAUGUUUUCUGAAAUAAAGGCCUGAGGAGGGCAGUCUUGGGUAAUUACUGCUCUCACACAUUCUUCUUUACCCUAGACCUCAGCCCCUCCCUCCCUGCUAGCUACCCAAGGGUUGGGAUUUUUUUUUUUUAAGAAAACAAACCCAAAACACCCCAAUGUGAAUUAUCCACGGGCUUGUAAGGGUGAAGAGCCCUCUACUUGCCAAGACAGGGCACACAUUUUGUGCAUGAGUUUGAGCACUUGGGAAGAAAGACAGGGCUUAGCUCUACAGUGGAGCUAGGCUCAGUGAUCCAAAUAUUCUGGCAAUGCCGAAGACCUUACGAGAGGGGCCAGAAAUAGAUGGUCCUCUCUGGGCAGGAGGUCAAGCGUGUUGUGAAUAGCUGGUCCUUGGUGAGCCAGGGGAGAGAGCACCAGAAUAAACUGCUAAUUGAUUUAAGAGUCUACAUCCCCUGAAUAUAUGUUUUCCAGUUUCCAGAGACUGAUUUGAUCAGGGAAACGAGGGAAAGAUGCCCCUACCCAUCCUCCUUUGCCCACACUGCUCUUGUGGAAGUAUACUGGCUCCCACAAGGGAUUCUAGCUUUAGUCCUGCUCCUCACGCCUGUGGCCCCUGUUCCCUGGAUAGACAUGUUUAACUAGUUCCAUUUUAAUUCCUUACCACAUGGCUAGAAUUGGUUAUGAAUUUAUACAUUUUAAUACGAGAAAAAUAAGUCUUUUACAAGCAAUGCUGAGAAGCCAAUAUCAGAAGAUAAACUUUGUAGGUGACCUGAGGCAGGAUGGGCUCACUCAAUGACGAUCUCGGGGACAGUGUCGCUCUCGUCACCCAGCUCUUCACCGGUGGAAUCUGUGAACUGACGCUUCUCUGCCAGGUCUUCACUUCUCGCUCUGCGAAAAGAAUACCAAAGGCUUUUACUCUGCAGAGGAACAAUUCAACUUUUCAUAAUUUACUCAUUUGAGGAUGACUGAUAGCUCCAGGAGGGUGGAGACUCUCUCUCUCAUCAUUUCAGCCAAGGAAAGAAAUCAGUGGUUGUCUGAGAGUCACUGGUUUGGAGUCCAGAUGGCAGAGGUAUCCAAGAAGACCAAUACAAGAGUGGCUGUUUCCUAAGCCUUGGAAGGUUUGAUCAUUUAAAAGACUAUUCUUAAUAUCAUAUCCGGCUCUUUUUACCCACUACCCUUAAACCUUCUACAUUUACAAGAAGAAUCCAUUUGCUAAAGAGCAUCAUUAAUAAGGAUUCAUGACAUACACAGCUGUGGAUGCCAUGGACAAAGAAGAAAAAUUGAACCAGGCAUCUGGGUGGCUCAGCUGGUUAAGCGUCUGACUACGGCUCAGGUCAUGAUCCCAGGGUCCUGGGAUUGCGUUGUCCCGCAUCAGGCUCCCUGCUCAGUGGGGAGUCCUCUCCCCUUGCUCCUCCCCCCUGCUCAUGCUCUCUCUCUCACUGUCAAACAAAUAAAUAAAAUCUUUUUAAAAAUUUUUAAAAAGAAUAAAAAUUGAACCUUCAUAACAAAGAAUAUAGUAUCCCUGUAUGUCUAAAUCCAUAGAAAUACCACGCAAGCAUUUCCUCCUUUACAAUGAGGCUGGAGAGAUUUUAUUUUGUAAUUUGUGAAGUUAGGGGCAUUUCUGAUAUGUUUAUUUAGCGUAAACAUUUCUAACUAUACCACUUAACCAUCAUUUUAUUUUAUUCUUUAAAGAUUUUAUUUGUUUAUUUGUGAGAGAGAGAAUGGAUGAACGCACAAGCUGAGGUAGCGGCAGGCAGAGGGAGAAGCAGGCUCCCCGCUGAGCAAGGAGCUCGACAGGGACUCGAUCUCAGGGUCCUGGGAUCAUGACCUGAGCCGAAGGCAGAUGCUUAACCGACUGAGCCACCCAGGAGCCCCUUAUUU